Molecule: ribosomal RNA, 3156 nt
Filed under: Triticum aestivum (bread wheat)
Lineage: Eukaryota; Viridiplantae; Streptophyta; Magnoliopsida; Poales; Poaceae
Description: partial small subunit ribosomal RNA
Source: RNAcentral
AUGGCUCGCCGCCGCGGAUCCAGCGGUUGCAGGAGCGGCAGCCCUCGGCCUGGCACGGGGCGGCCUCACCACAGCGGUCCGUCCCCUGCCUCGGCCCGCUGGCCCCCCUCCCCGAGCACGCGGUCUCCAGAUCCGGCGGCUCCGCCGCGAAUCCUGCUCCGGGGAGAGGCAUCCAACCCAGCUCCACCCUUCGGACCGCGGGGCACGCCUGCGCCUCUCCUCCCCGACGGUCUGCAACGCCUUAAAUCCAUAGUAGUCGCCCUGGUAAGUCAGCUCUGCAUUUCCCACUCCGAGGAAGAAGAGGGAUGGACGGCGGUCAGAUCGCGGAAAAACCUGCGGGCCGGGGAGGGCACGUCGGGCAAUGGCGCGCGCCGCCAGGCUCUCCGCUCGGACCAGUCUCGCGGGCGCACCUCCUCCAAGGGGCGGGAGGCCUUUUUAAGCCGCUUCAAGGGCAAGUGUUUCCGUUGCCUGAGCAAGCUCCACCGCCGCAAAGAUUGUCGUGAUCCUCUCCGAUGCAUCAUCUGUGAGCUGCAAGGUCACUUCGGCCGAGUGUGCCCGCAGAACCCUCGCAACGGCGGCCCAGGAGGGGCCGUCCACGCCAGAAUCCGUCCGCCUCAACCCCGGAUCCCGGUGCGGGAGCGCCUCUGUCUCGACCCGCCGCUCCCCUCCCCUGCCGCGGCCAUCCCUGCUCCUGCCGCGGCCAUGGAGCGCUCCUACCACACCGACCCGUCCAGAAGGCCACGCUCGAGCAACAAGAUGGUGGUCUCCUCUCCGGCCAUCGAGCACGCGGAGUACAUCCUGCGCCAGCACGCGGUGACUCUCACGGCGGCAGACCGCGCGCACUCCACGUCCCCUAUGGCGGUGGGGAAAGCCUUCGACGAGCAGCUCCGCACUUCGCCCCAUCAGCUCCGGGUGACGGCGCACCACCCGGAGGCCUUCCUGGUGCACUUCGACCUGCCGGCGCACCGGGACAACGCCGUCCGUCGCGGCGUCCUCAAGGUUGAAGGCUGCAAGUACUUCAUCUGCGCGUGGAACCCUGACGAUCACGCGGCCAUCCUCAAGCUCACGCUCCAUGUCCGCAUCGUUGUCGAGGACCUGCCCAUGCAGCUUUGGAGCCUGGAGGGGGCGAAAGAGGCCUUCGGCGACUUCGGCCGCAUCGACCGCCUCGACAGCCGCACCAACGAGCGCGGCCACACCAAGACGUUCGCGUGCUGGCUGUGGGCGUGGGACGUCGCGCACAUCCCGACGAAGAGGGCGCUCUGGGUGCUCAAGCGCGGCGCAGGCCGCGUCGACCAGAUCCUAGGCUUCUCCCCGCCGGAAUUCAACGUGCCCCCGCCGCCGAACGUCCAUCGCUACGACCUCCUCAUCCACGUAGAUAGGGUAGAGGAUUGGACCCCGCUCUCGCCGCGAUCUUCGCACUCCAGCCAGAGUGGGCUCCCGUCAUCAGGAGAGGAAGACGACCGCCCGUUGCCACGGACCGAUCCGGGCACCUGGGUGGAGGGAGUCGAAGAUGGCCAGUCCAAGAACAGGCGCGGUGUCACCCGCGUUUCCUCCGGGGGCUGCAGCAACUUCCCGAUCUUGGGAGACCGGCGUGACCACGACGAUGAAGGCCAUGGAAGUCAUGGAGGCCGCUCCUGGCGCGACACGCUCCUGGGCCGUGGCAGGACCGGCAAGAGCAAGAUGCCGGUCUCAGAGGCGCCACGGCACAGGAGCAGGACCCCUGCAUCACCCGCGUGCUCCGCCACCACCACCGAAGAGGACCCAGUGGCGCAGUUCUUCUCCUUCUCGGACUCGGGACGCACGCUCGAGCCUCCCCCGCGCACCGACUGCAUGCAGCUCGAGUUCGAGAACGCCAUGCUGGAGGCUCUGUCCAGCCCGCUCGACUUCAACUCCGCCGACGCUACAUCUCCUCAGAUGUCUCCUCCGACGAUGCUUCCCACUGCUCUGCUCCCCAACGUCAUGCCCUGCGUCACACAGCCCACGACUGCUACGAUCGAGCUCCAGGCCAUGGUGGCGGUCACGGAGAGAGUAAACCACAUGAAGAUUCAGGCGGAUUCUGAGGCGCUGCAGCUCUUCAGCAACAUUCAGCCCCCAGUGCUCACCACCCCAAAGCAGAAGCGCAUGUCGGCUCCUCCCAAGUCCAGGGUCGUUUCUGUUCCAUCCAGGCGCAGUGCAAGACAAGCAGCGGCCAGCUCCACUGUCCCGGUGUCUCAGAGAGCGGCGCUUCGUCUUGUCAAGGAGCUCGGCGAGCUUGGUCCAGGCGACAAGAUGACCCCGGAGAUCGCGGCAAGGCUGAUCAAGCGCUUCAACGAGCCGCUGACGGAUGCAGACAUUCAGACCAUUGCAAAGCUGACAAACCUCGACGUCAACGCUUUGAAGAUCGCAGCGGCAGCUCACGGCCCUGAUGGUGCAGCCAAGGCGGCUGAGUAGGGCAUCAACGCUUCAGCUAAGCGCUCAGCAAUUUGUGAGGUGGCCACAACGCUCAAGACAGUAAUCCUGACGCUACAAGAGACGAAGACGGGACCAGCAGCAACAGUGCCCACGCAUGGCCACCGGCCGCAGCCGCAACCAGAAGCAGCACCAGAGGCCACGUACGGCCACGAGCAGCAGCUUGCCCUGCCGCCCCCACCCCUGCUGCUCCCCGGCGGCCCCUGCUGCCACACCGUCGCAGCUGCGCCGUCCAUGGAGCGACCGACCACCACCAGCCGUAGCCGGGUCUUGGCUGGAAUAGGAGUGUCGCGGUCGCGGCUUCCUCGCCGACAGAUGGAGGGGCGGGUGCUCACCAUAUCCCGCGGCACCGGCGGCCAGCGGCUUCCUUGCCGAGAGAUGGAGGGGCGGUUGCUCGUCGGAUCUCGUGGCGCCGGCGGCCAGCGGCUUCGUCGCCGGGAGAUGGAGGGGCGGGAGCUCGCCGGAUCCCGCGGCGGCGGCAGCUGCCUCGUCGGGAGAUGGAGGGGCGAUGGCUCGUCGGAUCCCGCGACCAGCAGGUCGAGCGACGGUGUGGGGUCGGGAGGAGAGCUGGAUGGAUCAACGAUCUACCCGCAGGAGAUCAUCGAGUUCCCCUCCGUCCUCGUCGACGGUGCCACCGGCGACCUCGACCCCGUCGAGUUCCGCGCCUACGUCUGCCCGCAGCACCACCCCGCGCUGACCGACUUUUGA